GUAUUCUUCUGUCCCUUUCCGGCAGAGCAAAGUAAACAUACGGAGAAAUUAAUGGCUCGUAUUGCAGGUGUAAAUAUACCAGAU
Regulatory RNA element from Legionella quinlivanii, 84 nucleotides. It matches the Rfam family "Alpha operon ribosome binding site". Rfam says of the family: The bacterial alpha operon ribosome binding site is surrounded by this complex pseudoknotted structure. Translation of the mRNA produces 4 ribosomal protein products, one of which (S4) acts as a translational repressor by binding to the nested pseudoknot region. The mechanism of repression is thought to involve a conformational switch in the pseudoknot region and ribosome entrapment. The record is from Rfam. Lineage: Bacteria; Pseudomonadati; Pseudomonadota; Gammaproteobacteria; Legionellales; Legionellaceae.